GCUCCGGGCGUCGGCCUGU
RNAcentral lists this small nuclear RNA (19 nucleotides) under Arabidopsis thaliana (thale cress). RNAcentral describes it as "snRNA_07865". Lineage: Eukaryota; Viridiplantae; Streptophyta; Magnoliopsida; Brassicales; Brassicaceae. The record is from RNAcentral.